RNAcentral lists this long non-coding RNA (230 nucleotides) under Lathyrus oleraceus (garden pea). RNAcentral describes it as "Pisum sativum (pea) long non-coding RNA (PSAT_LNC008828)". Lineage: Eukaryota; Viridiplantae; Streptophyta; Magnoliopsida; Fabales; Fabaceae. The record is from RNAcentral.
UAAAUAUGAUGAUAGUCCCUACGAGUUGCUAAAGACACCCCUUAUGUUGCCUUCAUUGACCAUACGAUGACCCUACGCCCGUCCCUUAAACACCUCCAAGGUAAUGACUACCUAUUCCUUAAUAAUAGGGACAGUCUUACCAUUGAAAGAAUAUACGAGAACACGAAAGACUUAAUCUAGGGUAGGUAUCUCAUAGUUACUUGCUCACACUUUUCAAAAUUACUUUUACA